This 84-nucleotide transfer RNA is filed under the name Methanoculleus sp. RNAcentral's name for it is "tRNA-Leu". It matches the Rfam family "tRNA". Rfam says of the family: Transfer RNA (tRNA) molecules are approximately 80 nucleotides in length. Their secondary structure includes four short double-helical elements and three loops (D, anti-codon, and T loops). The record is from RNAcentral. Lineage: Archaea; Methanobacteriati; Methanobacteriota; Methanomicrobia; Methanomicrobiales; Methanomicrobiaceae.
GCGAGGGUAGCCAAGUCGGCCAAAGGCGCUGGACUUAAGAUCCAGUCCCGCAGGGGUCCGUGGGUUCGAAUCCCACCCCUCGCA